Molecule: ribosomal RNA, 465 nt
Filed under: uncultured bacterium
Lineage: Bacteria
Description: partial 16S ribosomal RNA
Rfam family: Bacterial small subunit ribosomal RNA
Source: RNAcentral
GACGAACGCUGGCGGCGUGCUUAACACAUGCAAGUCGAACGGUAAGGCUCCAGCUUGCUGGGGUACACGAGUGGCGAACGGGUGAGUAACACGUGGGUGACCUGCCCUGCACUUCGGGAUAAGCCUGGGAAACUGGGUCUAAUACCGGAUAGGACCGCACCGUGAGGGUGUGGUGGAAAGUUUUUUCGGUGUGGGAUGGGCCCGCGGCCUAUCAGCUUGUUGGUGGGGUAAUGGCCUACCAAGGCGGCGACGGGUAGCCGGCCUGAGAGGGUGGACGGCCACAUUGGGACUGAGACACGGCCCAGACUCCUACGGGAGGCAGCAGUGGGGAAUAUUGCACAAUGGGCGGAAGCCUGAUGCAGCGACGCCGCGUGGGGGAUGACGGCCUUCGGGUUGUAAACUCCUUUCACCAUCGACGAAGGGUUUCUGACGGUAGAAGGAGAAGAAGCACCGGCUAACUACGUG